Molecule: long non-coding RNA, 1091 nt
Filed under: Phasianus colchicus (ring-necked pheasant)
Lineage: Eukaryota; Metazoa; Chordata; Aves; Galliformes; Phasianidae
Description: lncRNA (ENSPCLG00000007691.1)
Source: RNAcentral
CUCGUUCAUGCCCAGCUUUCCUCUGCUGGGACCCAAACAGGUGCUUGCCUAAAACCACUGGAUGAUGACUGGCAUAGGGCUUUGUGAGCAAAUUUGUGAUGUGGGCCUACCUAGCUCAAAAAUGCAAAGCUAGCUUACUGAGUACAGCUCAGUCCUCAGCACAAGCAGCAUCUGGGGCUGGAUGAUGUGAGGUUGUGCUACAACACAGAAAGAUGCAAGUGAGCUGAACACCCAUCCCAGAAGAACUGGAGUUCCCCACUUGGGGAGAAGCAGUGGGAAGCACAGAGGCACCAACGUGACCUGGCCUCCUUCUCUUCUCACCUCCUCACUGUGAGCAUAAUGGGAGAAUCUGGUCUUUUACUGGUCUUGUUUUGGUGACACGAACUGCGAGCUGGUGGAUUUUGGUUUAGUUGAUUCAUCUUCUUUUUAUUUUGCACAUAUUCUCCAGAGAAGAGUAUGAAACAAGGAAGAGAGGGAUAAGCACCAGAGUAUAGAAACUUCAAAUUACUUCCACAUUUAGACCGCAUGAUAGAAUGCUAGAGCACAUUCAGCAUGCAACAGGCACGUGCCAAAUUAUUUUGGGAAGUGUGAAAAACGCAUGUUGUUAAUAUUGAACAAAUGAUCUUCUGUGGAUGCUGGGGUUUUCACUUUCUGUUCCCAAUAAAUCUUCCUUUCUCUUCACCAGUUUUACUCCCCCUGUCCUGAUACAGGCAAAGUGUCAGCUGAGGUCAGCCAAGUCCUGAAUCGAGAUGACUGCAGUCGGUGCCUGAUGUGUACAAACUGCCAGAUGCCAGCAGGAGAAAUUAAAGAGAACAGUGAAAAUAUCCACUGUGUGCAGGAAAAAGUAUGCCCAGGUCUGGUGGACAAGAGAAAAUUCCAUCUGCAGAGCAGUACUGUGAUGGUAAACAGAGAGCAAGAGUGUAUCUGUGAGUACUGUGAGAUUGUGAGGGGGAGGAUGCACCGGCAAUAUUCAUCCCUGCCCAUACCUAGCAGCUCCUAGAAGAGACUUGUGGUCUCUUGCCUUCUUUGAAAACACUUUGUAUAGCUAUUGUGCUAAUAAAGUCAUAUUGAAGUGGGAGCUAGAAUGGAGA